RNAcentral lists this ribosomal RNA (253 nucleotides) under uncultured bacterium. Its description in RNAcentral is "partial 16S ribosomal RNA". It matches the Rfam family "Bacterial small subunit ribosomal RNA", at positions 524 to 776 of the family's 1533-position model. The record is from RNAcentral.
GACGAAGGAUGCAAGCGUUAUCCGGAUUCAUUGGGUUUAAAGGGAGCGUAGGUGGACUUGUAUGUCAGUGGUGAAAUCUCUCGGCUUAACCGAGAAACUGCCAUUGAUACUGCAAGUCUUGAGUACAGAUGAUGUAGGCGGAAUAUGACAUGUAGUGGUGAAAUACUUAGAUAUGUCAUAGAACACCGAUUGCGAAGGCAGCUCACAAAACUGUAACUGACACUGAGGCUCGAAAGUGCGGGGAUCAAACAGG